UAACGCGUGAGUAACCUGCCCUUAGGAAAGGGAUAGCGUCUGGAAACGGACGGUAAUACCAUAUAAAGUAUAUUAACGGCAUCGUAGAUAUACCAAAGCUGAGGCGCCUAAGGAUGGACUCGCGUCUGAUUAGAUAGUUGGUGGGGUAACGGCCUACCAAGUCGACGAUCAGUAGCCGGACUGAGAGGUUGAACGGCCACAUUGGGACUGAGACACGGCCCAGACUCCUACGGGAGGCAGCAGUGGGGAAUAUUGCACAAUGGGCGAAAGCCUGAUGCAGCAACGCCGCGUGAAGGAAGACGGUUUUCGGAUUGUAAACUUCUGUUCUUAGUGAAGAAUAAUGACGGUAACUAAGGAGCAAGCCACGGCUAACUACGUGCCAGCAGCCGCGGUAAUACGUAGGUGGCAAGCGUUGUCCGGAAUUACUGGGUGUAAAGGGAGCGUAGGCGGGAAGCCAAGUCAGCUGUGAAAACUACGGGCUUAACCUGUAGACUGCAGUUGAAACUGGCUUUCUUGAGUGAAGUAGAGGUUGGCGGAAUUCCGAGUGUAGCGGUGAAAUGCGUAGAUAUUCGGAGGAACACCGGUGGCGAAGGCGGCCAACUGGGCUUUAACUGACGCUGAGGCUCGAAAGUGUGGGGAGCAAACAGGAUUAGAUACCCUGGUAGU
RNAcentral lists this ribosomal RNA (666 nucleotides) under uncultured bacterium. RNAcentral's name for it is "bacterial SSU rRNA". It matches the Rfam family "Bacterial small subunit ribosomal RNA", at positions 111 to 794 of the family's 1533-position model. The record is from RNAcentral.